Molecule: long non-coding RNA, 549 nt
Organism: Panthera uncia (snow leopard)
Lineage: Eukaryota; Metazoa; Chordata; Mammalia; Carnivora; Felidae
Exons: 2
Source: RefSeq, a predicted model, not a curated record
UAUCUGGAAUUUGUUUCCAAAUAUUGCAUAAGAGAGCAAUUAUUUUGUUGUGUCAGCAUCAUCAGGGAAUUGAUAGAUUGGGACCUGGUUGAUGGGAACAUGGAGGUACUCUUAUUCCUCUGUCUCCCUAUUUUGGUGUUUUCAUUUUUCCUUAAUGCACACUUAGAAGAAACUUACAAGAAAAGAUGAUUAGUGUGGGGCAGUAUCAGAGAUGGGUGAUUUUGGCAUUCUACAGAAGGGUCAUGGACAUGAGUUAGACAUGGGUAGCCUUCUCCCACAUGUGGUCUCACAGAUCUCAGACACCAUAAAGAAAAAAUUAAACUAAUCUGACACAUAAAAAUUAAAAACAGCUUUAUGGUGAAAGACCCCAUCAACAAAAGGCAUAAAACACACCAGGGAACAAUAUUUACAACUAUGUACUUAACAACGAGUUAAUAUCCCAAGUAUAUGAAGGGUUUCUAUAGAUCCAUAAGAAAAUACAACCAACUGAAUGGAGAAACAGGCAAAAUUACAACUGGUAAAUAAAUUCACAGUAGAAAUAAAAUCAGA